AAAAAAAAAAAAAAAAAACCCUAAAAAAAUUUAUAAUUGGUUAAAUGACUUUUUCAAAAUUUUAUUUGGCCAAUUAAUAUUCUUCUUAUCAACUGAAUGUUAUGUUGAAUACAAAUGAGAAAAGCUUUAAAUCGUUCACCAUAUUUAAAAAAUAAUGAAUUAUUUUUUAGUUUUGUGAGAUUGUUAGGAUUGUAUGUGAAUUAUUGAGUUUGUGUUUGAUUGUUAAGAUUGUAUCGAUAGUUUUUUUCAGAUUUUCUCAGGCUCUUAAAAUUAAAAUUAUGUGUGUAUUGUAUGGAUAAGCUAUUAGAAUUUUUUGAGUUGUUAAGAUUAUAUGUAAUUUAUUAAAAUUUUAUAUAAUUGUUAGGAUUCUAUAUAGAAAAUAGAGAAAAAUGUACAAUUAAGGGUCUCAUACAUUUUUUAUUUAUCUUUAUUUAAAAAAAUUUUGUAUUUUGGGAUUUUAAUUGAUAGAUGCUAAUUGAGAAUUUAGGAGGUUGAUUAUUAAGGAUAAUGAUGGGGCCCAUACAUUGGUACAAUUAAUCCCUUAAUUGGGACUUAACUAAGAUUAAUUAAUGAGAGCUUGAUUUUAUUAGAAUUCCAAUUUUAAAAUGCCAUAGAAAUUGAGAAAUGCUAAGUCUUACAAGCAGGGAUGUAAACAAGAGGGACCCACCGUACGGAUUGGAUUUUAUUUAUUUUUGGGAAAACUUCAAAAAACCCCGUGUGGUUUUGCACUUUCUCACUUUAGUACCUGUAGUUUAAAGUGUAUUAAUGGGGUUUUUUUGCAAAUAGCCCCUGAGCAAUUUUUAUUUUAAGAAUAGCCCUAUCAAAAUUAAAAUUACAAAAAUGGCCCUCCCUGCCACGCAGGCGCCACGUCAGCGCCACGCGGGCAGGACUGGGGCCAGGGUAUUAAGUUGAACACGGUGAUGAUUCACCGUGUCUAAACACGGUGAAUGGUUCACCGUGUUUAAUACGUAUUUUUUGUAUAUUGAAAAGUGGAAUAAGGAGUAGGGAUGUCAAUAGGUAUGGAUAUCCGAAAUAUUAUCCGAAUCCAAACCCGAAUAAAUUAUAUAUAUAUAUAUAUACAUAAUUUAUUUUUGUUUAUUUAUACAAUAUAUAAAAUAUUUAAUAGUUUUUAUUUCUUAGAUCUUCAUCCAACAGUAUAGAUUUUUAAAACCCGCUGGGUUGAAUGAAGAUCUAAGUAAUAAAAAUUAUUAAAUAUUUUAUAUAUUGUAUAAAUAAACAAAAAUAAAUUACGUAUAUAUAUAUAAUUUAUUCGGGUUUGAAUUCGGAUAAUAUUUCGGAUAUCCAUACCUAUUGACAUCCUUACUCCUUAUUCCACUUUUCAAUAUACAAAAAAUACGUAACAAAAAAUAUGUACUAAACACGGUGAAUGGUUCACCGUGUUCAACUUAACACACGAGCCCAGCCCUGCCAGCGUGGCGCUGACAUGGCGCAUGCGUGGCAGGCCCAGGGCCAUUUUUGCAAAUUAAAUUUUGACAGGACUACUUUUAAAAUAAAAAUUUACCAGGGGUCUAAAUGCAAAAAAAGCCCUGUAUUAAUUUGUCCCUAUGUGGUUUUGUUUUUAUCUUUUCGGCAGCUUUUUUCUUAAUAUUUCGUUAAAUUAUAUACAAAAAACUUCAGAUACCCCACCUAGAUUUAUCGAACAUUUACUUUAGUACCCUUUAAGUUUAACUUUGUCACUGAUUUAAAUAAUAAUAAUAAUAAAAUUGAUAAUAAAAAGAGAAAAAUAAAACAACAGGAGGGCAAAUUGAUACACUUUAAAUCACAGGGUACUAAAGUGAGAAAGUGCGAAACCACGGGGUGUUUUUUUGAAGUUAUCCCUUUAUUUUUUGUCCCUACUUACCGCUCUAUUUGGGACGGAGCUUAACAAAAAUGAACUUUUAACAAAUUUUAAUAGAUUUUGGUAA
This 1925-nucleotide long non-coding RNA is filed under the name Ananas comosus (pineapple). RNAcentral's name for it is "long non-coding RNA (ACOM_LNC023646)". Lineage: Eukaryota; Viridiplantae; Streptophyta; Magnoliopsida; Poales; Bromeliaceae. The record is from RNAcentral.